GGUCCUAUAUUUUUACGAAAAUUUCAUUCUAUAUUUUAUAUUGUUUAAUUUCGAACUCUUAGUAUUUUAUAUUUUUUUUAUUGUGGUCCUUAUAUUUUUAUCAAAAUUUUAUUUAUUUUUUUCAGUAGUUAUUUUAGACCCUUUUGAAAAUAAAUUUCUAAUUAUGCCCUUAAUUCAAAUUGAUCGAGAUUAUGAUUAAAAUUUAUAGUUCUACUUCUGCUUCUUUGAGAUUAUGUUUCUAGUUUUUUCAAACCUUGAUUUAAAAGAAGUCAGAAAAAAAAAAAAAAAAACUAAGACUAUAAG
RNAcentral lists this unclassified non-coding RNA (303 nucleotides) under Hevea brasiliensis (rubber tree). The record is from RNAcentral. Lineage: Eukaryota; Viridiplantae; Streptophyta; Magnoliopsida; Malpighiales; Euphorbiaceae.